GGAGACAGCACAGCGGCUUUGACCGGACAGUCACCGCUCGGAUUUGAAAGGCACGCCGCCAGCGCGGGGUCAGGAGCGCCUCGGGAGCCCGCGCGUAACCGAGAGUCGGUGAAACGAUUUGGCCCCACAAAGCAGAUGUCUUGACUUCACAGCGACGUUUUAUUUUGACCCCAACGAAGAUCUCCAGGGAUCGGGGACCCAGGUUUCCCAGCCGGGCGGCUGUCAUAGGCCACCUUCCCGAUCACACCAGCAGAGGGGGAAGUGACCACAGCAGGGCUGGAGCCAGGGCUUCCAGAUGUUGUCCCACGCGUCCAGCUGCAGCGGAACCAGGCUGAGCGUCCGGCGGUGGUCCUCCACGGCCUUGGCGACCGUCUCCAUCACCCGAUGGAACGAGGGCUCCGUGUCCGGCGUGAGGGCGUGGGCCUCGGAAGGGUCCCUCGAGAGGUCGAACAGCAACGGCGGGUCGUGCAGGCUCACCCUGUCCCCAGAACACGGGCAGACCCCUCUGCCGUAGCAGGCGCCGGCUCCGUCCGGGUGGAACACCGGGGUCACGUAGUGCACUUUCCACACGGCCCCUCCUGGAGGAAGGACGAGAAUUGAGCAGGGUUGGCGUGGAGAAUCAGGACGCAUUUCUGGAGAGCAGGGUGAGUCACAGUUGCUGGGGCUGGAAACAGUGCACGUGUCCACCGAGUGAUGGAUGGAUACACAGCAUGGGGUCCGUGCACGCACUGGAACAGGACGCAGCCAGGAGCAGGAGGGAGGCUCUGACACAGGCCACCACGUGGACGGGCCUUGAGCACACGAUGCUCCGCGAGAGAGGCAGACACAGGAGGACACACAGGGUGUGAUUCCAUUGAUGGGAGACGUCCAGAACAGACACAUCCAACAGACUCAGAAAACAACCGGACACGUGCAGAGAAUGCUUUUGGGGCGUGAAGGGCAAAGAGUGAGUUGAAUCGCAAGGGGGCUGUCGACCUUCCCAAACACCGGAAGAAUACCAAGUCCUUCAGGCACGUCCAGAAAAAGGGAGAAAAUGUCAGGGCAAGGCAGAGUAACAGGGAAACAGAAGUGAAGAAAAGAGAAGAAUGGGACGUCCCUGGUGGCGCAGGGGUUAAGAAUCUGCCUGCCCAUGCAGGGGACACGGGUUCCAGCCCUGGUCUGGGAAGAUCCCACAUGCCACGGAGCCACUAAGCCUGUGUGCCACAACUAGUGAGCCCACGAGCCACAGCUACUAAAGCCCACGCACCUAGAGCCCCUGCUCCACAACAAGAGAAGCCACCGCAAUGAGAAGCCCGUACACCGCAACAAAGUGUAGCCCCAACUCGCCACAACCAGAGAAAGCCCAUACGCAGCAACAAAGACCCAACGCAGCCAAUAAACAAAUUAAAAAAAAAAAAAAAGAAUAGCUUAAAAAAAAUAAAAAGAGAAGAGAAGAAGCUCAAACAGGUAAAAGUCUGUUAUCACAGACCAAACCACAGACCAAGGCAGACGCAGAACUCAAGCAGUUAUAAAAUUGAGCAAUGUGGUUGUUACGUAAAUCCACGAGCUGGGUUUUAGAAAAUGAUUUAUAGUAACAGAAAACCUCAGGCACCUCCAGUCGGGCAAUGAAGGAGAAUUCAGCUAUAAAUAGGGAGGCAAUUAAAAUACAAGGAACUGACUAGGUAACAGAAGAAAGUGCCUGGUGAAAUGAAUAUGUUUUUUUAAAUGGAGCUUUAAUUUUUUAUUUUUGGGGCCACACCACUCCGCAUGUGGGAUCUUAGUUCCCCGACCAGGGAUUGAACCCUCACCCAAGCUGCACUGGGAGCGUGGAGUCCUAACUACUAGACCGCCAGGGACGUCCCUGAAAUGAAUACUUUUUAAAUAAAAAGUGGAGAGACAUCACAGGCUUCAGUGUUUGGGAAAACUCAAUAUUGUAAAGAUACCACUUCCCCCUCUGCUCAGGUUCAUUCAUACAUUGAAGACAACGGCCAUUGGUAUCCCCGUGGGAUUUAAAAAAAAUACUUGCAAAUGAUUUUAGAGUUCUUUUCAAAGGACCGUUGGGCAAAAACAACUCAGAAAAGUUUGAGAGGCAAAAAUUAUCCAGUCAGUGUAUUACUGCUCGUUUUACAAAGUUACCAUUAUUAUAACAAAUAUGAGAUGGUCUCAUUAAGACACGUGGAAACCAAAUGUAGAUGAAGAGAACAGAUUCGAAAGCAAGAAAAAGAGGAAUCAUGAAACGUCCCUACCACGCGACCUCCAAAGGAAUCUCUUGUGAUCAACUGUCAGCAAACUCACUGAAAUGACACUGUCCUUAUAAUCAAAUAGCUUCAGUUAAGGCUCAGGAGAAGAGAAGGACACUUUGUGCACAAAAUGAAGCAGACAUUGGAUCCCAGCAGAUGAGGCGUGUUUUUCCAGACACUGAUCUCACGGGUAUUUUAUGCCAAGCGAGAGGGACAGUGACGUCUGACACCCGUGUGGGCCCCACGCAAGACGGCACUGCCUCCUUUGGGCUGCUCGGUACCUGUCCUGGGGC
Molecule: long non-coding RNA, 2512 nt
Organism: Hippopotamus amphibius kiboko
Lineage: Eukaryota; Metazoa; Chordata; Mammalia; Artiodactyla; Hippopotamidae
Exons: 4
Source: RefSeq, a predicted model, not a curated record